Molecule: long non-coding RNA, 657 nt
Organism: Ochotona curzoniae (black-lipped pika)
Lineage: Eukaryota; Metazoa; Chordata; Mammalia; Lagomorpha; Ochotonidae
Exons: 6
Source: RefSeq, a predicted model, not a curated record
ACCAGCCUGUAGGAGGAGCAGUUUAUGAUGUUGUCUAGAAGAAAUGUUUGAAACCCAAAUCAGCAAGCAAUACACUUCACAGAAUCUGGAUUGUAGUUUAAACUGCCUUCUCGUUUGAUAUACUCUUCGGUAUACAGAAAGAUUCCCUUGUAUGUGUUUGAAAAUCUGAAGAGUGGAAUAGAAACAUCUGGAAUGCCACGGAUCUUGGAUGCUGCAAUUGGCCCUCACUGUGCUGCUCGGAGACCUGGUGCUGCAAGGCUGUGGGUACUUGUGAUGAUGAGCAGGCGUCUGAGUCGGAGAACGGUGAGUGCAAAGGUUCUUUCCCGGCAACUUGCAAGAUUCCUCAGUAAGCAUCAAGAUAAGGAGCCCAGGAAAGAGAAGAUUGGCACCAUUUUCUGUUGGGAUUCGUUUUCACAUAAGGAACUAUAAGUGUGUUGAACACAUCUGUAAGCAUGACUUCUCAUCUGCACCAUUUCUCCAGGUUUCCACCUAUUUUCAUUGUAAUUCACGUGAAGGCAGAUACAGUCACUUUCUGUUGCUGAGAACAUGAAGCCUGUGACUUCUCUGCUCUUUUUGUAGUUACAAGAUCUGAUGAGAACUCAGAAAUCUCAAGUGCUUGGUAAGGAAUUUUUUCCUAUCAAGAUGAUAUUUGUCACA